CGAACGGGUGAGUAACGCGUGAGGAACCUGCCUCAAAGAGGGGGACAACAGUUGGAAACGACUGCUAAUACCGCAUAAGCCCACGGCUCGGCAUCGAGCAGAGGGAAAAGGAACAAUCCGCUUUGAGAUGGCCUCGCGUCCGAUUAGCUAGUUGGUGAGGUAAUGGCCCACCAAGGCAACGAUCGGUAGCCGGACUGAGAGGUUGAACGGCCACAUUGGGACUGAGACACGGCCCAG
Molecule: ribosomal RNA, 237 nt
Filed under: uncultured bacterium
Lineage: Bacteria
Description: partial 16S ribosomal RNA
Rfam family: Bacterial small subunit ribosomal RNA
Source: RNAcentral